UACACGAGAACAGUAAGCUCUUGUCGCCGUUUUUUGAAUAUUAACGAAGUUUAAGGAAAUCUAAAUCGCAUUGUCAACAGUACCUUUACAAGGGAACAAUGUAGACUGAAAAUGUUAGAUGUAAAGUUCCAAAAUAAGCAAAGGGGACAAAACGGCAUAAAGGGUCCAAACUUAAAAUUCCAACAUGCCAAGAAGCGGACCCCCGCCUUAAGGGGACAAGAAAUCUUGGCUUAAAGUAAAUCCUAAAACACACCCCUUUCUUCUUAAAUGGUUAUGUAAAAUUCAUCUCAAAUUUCAAUAAAAUAAGGCUGGAACCUUAUAAGAAAAGAUUAUACCAUAACGCCUGCUACAUAAGAAGUUAAGAAGGAUUUAGUAGAGGUUUAAAAUUGCUUUGGCAGGAGGGC
This is a long non-coding RNA of Zophobas morio, 404 nucleotides long. RefSeq lists it as uncharacterized. The transcript is spliced from 4 exons. The record is from RefSeq and is a predicted model, not a curated record. NCBI's taxonomy places the organism in Eukaryota, Metazoa, Arthropoda, Insecta, Coleoptera, Tenebrionidae.